UAUGAUAGGUGUGACGAUGUCU
This 22-nucleotide microRNA is filed under the name Human betaherpesvirus 5. RNAcentral describes it as "hcmv-miR-US5-2-3p". Its record names the gene hcmv-miR-US5-2-3p. The record is from miRBase by way of RNAcentral. Lineage: Duplodnaviria; Heunggongvirae; Peploviricota; Herviviricetes; Herpesvirales; Orthoherpesviridae.